RNAcentral lists this ribosomal RNA (448 nucleotides) under uncultured bacterium. RNAcentral's name for it is "bacterial SSU rRNA". It matches the Rfam family "Bacterial small subunit ribosomal RNA", at positions 329 to 793 of the family's 1533-position model. The record is from RNAcentral.
GUCCAGACUCCUACGGGAGGCAGCAGUGGGGAAUAUUGCACAAUGGGGGAAACCCUGAUGCAGCGACGCCGCGUGAGUGAAGAAGUAUUUCGGUAUGUAAAGCUCUAUCAGCAGGGAAGAAAAUGACGGUACCUGACUAAGAAGCCCCGGCUAACUACGUGCCAGCAGCCGCGGUAAUACGUAGGGGGCAAGCGUUAUCCGGAUUUACUGGGUGUAAAGGGAGCGUAGACAGCAUGCCAAGUCAGAUGUGAAAGCCCGGGGCUCAACCCCGGGACUGCAUUUGAAACUGUCAGGCUGGAGUGCAGGAGAGGUAAGUGGAAUUCCUAGUGUAGCGGUGAAAUGCGUAGAUAUUAGGAGGAACACCAGUGGCGAAGGCGGCUUACUGGACUGUAACUGACGUUGAGGCUCGAAAGCGUGGGGAGCAAACAGGAUUAGAUACCCGUGUACG